GGGAUGGUGUUUCGUUUAGGGAGAGCCCCGGACUUCCCGCGGUAAAUCAAGAGGGAAAAGGGGGACGGGGAGCACCAGGCACAGCUUGUGUCUGAGCAGAGGAACUGGGGAAGGAAAGCGCUGGUUUUCAAGCUGCAGUUUCACAAAAUGAAUCAGGAUCAGGCUCUUCCCCGACGUCUCUGCUCAUGGUGGCCCUCACCCCUUCACGCGUGCCUAUAGGACUGCGUGAGCCCUGGAGUCAACCUGGAUUUAAUGCAGUAAACCAACAGACCGCUGGAAAAGGAGAGGCAAAUGGAAGCGGUUGCUGGCACUGUGCUUCUGCCACCAACUGUACCCAACUCAGAGCCACCACCACCCCACCGUAGUCCCCACGUAGCUCACGGGCACGAUGUCUCCUUGCGGCCUUAAGCAUCCCUUGGUUUCGCUUUCCCCUUGGGCUCCACUCAACCCUUGUAGGGUCCAUGAGCCCGCAGGGAGCCUCCUUUCGUCAGCCGCCUCUAUCAGCACACUGCUGUGCCCCAAAACCACCAUCAGUGCCCAUCCCUUAAAACAAGCACCCUUCCACCAUGCAGCAAAGCAGCCAUCUCCAAACGAAGGCGAGUUUUCACGCUGCUUCACCUUAUUAUUCGGGGCACAUGGAUGGUUUUUGCAUGGGUUGUGCCUAUGGCUGCCCUGCUCCCAGCUAGGGGUGCUUCCAGAUCCCCACCGCCAGCAGUGCCUGCGAAGCCAUGCAUGAGGUUCCAGCAUUGGUGCAAACCAAUGGAGUUGAACCCUCCCCAAAAAACCACUCAUGCAAAAUACACUCAGAAAAAGCAAAUCCCUGUUGAAUUAGGGCACAGCAUCACACCUGCCUGGAAAAGCUCUUUGUUUGGUGGGCUUUUGAUUUUUUUUUUCCUUUUUUGCAGCCUCUUUAAAAGCACUUUUCUCGUUUUGCUCUUCCCAUCUUAUCUUUUGCUGUUCUUUUCUGAGUGGUUCCCUGUCUUUUAGGGAUGAGCUCCUUCAGCUAGAGCUCAUUUUUUAUCAGAAAAGCCAGUUCAUGCCAAGAAUUUCUUUCUCUAAAUUUUUUUCCUGGCAUUUUGCACUUCCCACAUGGUCUCUACCUGUUUUCUGAUUUUAAUUUAAAUGGGUGCUCAUGUGGGCAAAGGGCAAAAUCCUGUGGUGAGGCGGCAAAUGCAAUAUAUUAUUUAAAGAACAUUUUAACUCCUUUUUCAUUUUCAGUGUUUUAGAUCUCCCUUCCAGCUAAACUCAUUUCCUCUGAAUGGAAUCUGCAGAAGGGGACUCUGAAUCAAGUAAAAUCAGUAGAGAAGUUGAUGGUUCGCCACAUUGCUUUUGUUUUGGAAAGCCAGAUUUAAGGGCAAAGAGCUCAUUGGCAGUGUGUUAGAUUUGAGGUGCCCCUUACCCACCCCGUGUUCUGCAGGAUGACGUUUCCCACCAGAGGGAAAGAAGGCAAAAAUGGGGGGAAAAAAGGAAUACUGGAGGCAAUUAUUGAGUGCCCAGUCCUCAGCCAGGGAGCACUGCCCCAGCCCCAAAGCAGGGAUGAGUUCUGCAUAAUCUCGUUUUCAGGACCUGCUAGUUUCCAAGGAGACGGGGGACAAUUACAGCCAAAAGCUGGAUUUAGGGACUCACAGCACAGCUUCCCCAGUGGGUGCACAGGGAACCCCAAAAGGCCCCGCUCAGCCCCAGCACCGCCCUUACCUGGGGCUUGUGGGGAGGAGCUGAAGUGAUGGUGGAGGAUUUGGGAGGCUUGGGGUUGGAUUUGGGGUUUGGAGGGCUGGAUAUGAUUGCAGCUUGGGUUUGGCUUUGGUCUAGGUCCUGGGCCCCAUCCAGUUUUAGGGGAUGAGAGGAGACAUCAGAGGAGCCUUCGCCCUUGCUCCCUUCUUCCACUCCCAUUUCCCAAGGAAAGUGGAUUUAAGCCCCAGGCCCCUUGGGCCAUGCAGGGGUGCCAAAGAGGCAGACUCAGGAGGGAACACCCCAUGGUCAUCGCAGGGCCAUGGCCUCCCUUAGCUCCUGUUGGGGGCUGUAAGUUCGGGAGGGGGGCACCUCCCACACGCCCUGCAUAGGCAUGCAUGGAACAUAUCUGUAAACGCAUAUAGCAUGAGUGCUCUUCUCAA
Molecule: long non-coding RNA, 2111 nt
Organism: Gallus gallus (chicken)
Lineage: Eukaryota; Metazoa; Chordata; Aves; Galliformes; Phasianidae
Source: Ensembl